Molecule: ribosomal RNA, 425 nt
Filed under: uncultured bacterium
Lineage: Bacteria
Description: bacterial SSU rRNA
Rfam family: Bacterial small subunit ribosomal RNA
Source: RNAcentral
GUUAGGAAUCUUGCGCAAUGGGGGAAACCCUGACGCAGCCAUGCCGCGUGAAUGAUGAAGGUCUUAGGAUUGUAAAAUUCUUUCAGCGGGGACGAUAAUGACGGUACCCGCAGAAGAAGCCCCGGCUAACUUCGUGCCAGCAGCCGCGGUAAUACGAAGGGGGCUAGCGUUGCUCGGAAUUACUGGGCGUAAAGGGCGCGUAGGCGGAUGUCUUAGUCAGCGGUGAAAGCCCAGGGCUCAACCUUGGAACUGCCAUUGAUACUGGACAUCUUGAGUACGGGAGAGGUGAGUGGAACUCCGAGUGUAGAGGUGAAAUUCGUAGAUAUUCGGAAGAACACCAGUGGCGAAGGCGACUCACUGGCCCGUUACUGACGCUGAGGCGCGAAAGCGUGGGGAGCAAACAGGAUUAGAAACCCGAGUAGUCC